Molecule: long non-coding RNA, 576 nt
Organism: Syngnathus typhle (broad-nosed pipefish)
Lineage: Eukaryota; Metazoa; Chordata; Actinopteri; Syngnathiformes; Syngnathidae
Exons: 3
Source: RefSeq, a predicted model, not a curated record
CUUGUCAUCAUCACGUUUCUGGCCACGUCAGAUAAGACCACAAACCGUCCGUUUGUUCUUUCGUUGACGCGCACAAGCAACAAGUGACAAGCUAAUGCUAAUAUUUUUUUUUUUGCAUUUUGAUUGAUUUUCUGCAGUUUUGCAGGUGAUGGAAUUAAAUUUCAAAAAAUUCAAUUUGAAAAACAAACCAUACAACAUUUCCUGUGGACUAUCCAAACAUGCAACUAGCAUCGUAUGCUAAAAGGACGGAGGGCAGGACUUACUUCUUGAACUGCUUGAGGAAAAUGCCCACGUUCAUCCCCCUCUUGGAGUCCAGGAUGCUGAUCUGCAAGCAGACACAAGGGGGCGACAUGUCAAAGACCAAACAGGAAGUCUGAAUAUGCUGCAGCGUGCACGCCGGGCCAGUAGGGGACAAUGUCACUUCCUUCUCCAGGUGUAAAAUGCAGGAUGGGAGAGGAAUGAAACUUUCAAUAAGUUCUCGAGCUUCAUACUCACCUCUUCCUUGCUGCUCUCCUUGAACGAUCGGGACCGGUUGAGCCCAGCCGCCGUCCCGGGAGCGGACGCCGCCCCUCGGCC